UGGGGGAUAUUGCACAAUGGGCGAAAGCCUGAUGCAGCGACGCCGCGUGGGUGAUGAAGGCCUUCGGGUUGUAAACUUCUUUUGCUCUGAACAAGGCAUGCCUUUGGGGUGUGUUGAGUGUAGGGGUUGAUUAGCGCCGGCUAACUACGUGCCAGCAGCCGCGGUAAUACGUAGGGCGCGAGCGUUGUCCGGAAUUAUUGGGCGUAAAGGGCUUGUAGGUGGCUGGUUGCGUCUGUCGUGAAAGCUCAUGGCUUAACUGUGGGUUUGCGGUGGGUACGGGCUGGCUUGAGUGCAGUAGGGGAGGCUGGAAUUCCUGGUGUAGCGGUGGAAUGCGCAGAUAUCAGGAGGAAUACCGGUGGCGAAGGCGGGUCUCUGGGCUGUUACUGACGCUGAGGAGCGAAAGCGUGGGGAGCGAACAGG
RNAcentral lists this ribosomal RNA (420 nucleotides) under Fusobacteriota bacterium. RNAcentral's name for it is "Fusobacteria bacterium partial 16S ribosomal RNA". It matches the Rfam family "Bacterial small subunit ribosomal RNA", at positions 355 to 776 of the family's 1533-position model. The record is from RNAcentral. Lineage: Bacteria; Fusobacteriati; Fusobacteriota.